This 407-nucleotide ribosomal RNA is filed under the name uncultured bacterium. RNAcentral's name for it is "bacterial SSU rRNA". It matches the Rfam family "Bacterial small subunit ribosomal RNA", at positions 917 to 1322 of the family's 1533-position model. The record is from RNAcentral.
GGACCCGCACAAGUAGUGGAGCAUGUGGUUUAAUUCGAAGAUACGCGCAGAACCUUACCAACACUUGACAUGUUCGUCGCGACUUUAAGAGAUUAAAGUUUUCGGUUCGGCCGGACGAAACACAGGUGCUGCAUGGCUGUCGUCAGCUCGUGUCGUGAGAUGUUGGGUUAAGUCCCGCAACGAGCGCAACCCUCACUUUUAGUUGCCAUCAUUUAGUUGGGCACUCUGAAAGAACUGCCAGUGAUAAGCUGGAGGAAGGUGGGGAUGACGUCAAGUCCUCAUGGCCCUUACGUGUUGGGCUACACACGUGCUACAAUGGUAUUUACAAUGAGAAGCAAAGAUGCAAGUCCUAGCCAAUCUCUAAAAUGUACCUCAGUUCGGAUUGUACUCUGUAACUCGAGUGCAUG